Sipha flava (yellow sugarcane aphid) is the source of this 468-nucleotide long non-coding RNA. RefSeq lists it as uncharacterized. The record is from RefSeq and is a predicted model, not a curated record. The transcript is spliced from 4 exons. Lineage: Eukaryota; Metazoa; Arthropoda; Insecta; Hemiptera; Aphididae.
CAGUUCUAGCGUUAUUUAACAGCAAAAAUGCACAGACAUCUUCCGAUGAUUGAUAGGCCAAUCGGAAAAACAAGCAAUGUUAUCGGACGAUCACGCCACAACAGUUCACUAUAAACUGCCGAAGCGAGUAAUGUACUCGUAUAUAAAGGUAUCAGAGAUCUCGAUUACGGCAUAAUACGUUUUAUUGUGAAUAUUUACUUUGUCUUUACUUCUAUUCCAAAAAAACCUACCAAAAUCCAAAAUGGGCGCUGAAAAGGUAUCCAUGAACAUCGUUGUCGUCGGACAAGUCGAAUCUGCCAAGGUCAUUAAGACUGUCGCCAAAGCCGUACCAAAAAUGGGCUCAUUAAUGAACUUUUAACUCAUGCAAUCCAUCAAUGGCCUACUCAAAAACGCCAUAGCUCAAACAAUGUAUUUAUACGUAUAUAAUAUGUAUUAUAACAUUGCCAAAUAUAUCAGUUUUUACCGUUA